This 1243-nucleotide ribosomal RNA is filed under the name metagenome. RNAcentral's name for it is "bacterial LSU rRNA". It matches the Rfam family "Bacterial large subunit ribosomal RNA", at positions 1564 to 2816 of the family's 2925-position model. The record is from RNAcentral.
UGAAUACGAGAUGCUACGGCGUCGAAGCAGUCUAUGUCAUACUUCCAAGAAAAGCUCGCACUGUCAUAAACAAAUAAUGCCUGUACCAUAACCGACACAGGUGGGUAGGUAGAGUAUACUAAGGGGCGCGAGAUAACUCUCUCUAAGGAACUCGGCAAAAUGACUCCGUAACUUCGGGAGAAGGAGUGCCUUAUUUAUAAGGUUGCAAUAACAAGAUCCAAGCAACUGUUUAUCAAAAACACAGGUCUCCGCUAAGUCGUAAGACGAUGUAUGGGGGCUGACGCCUGCCCAGUGCCAGAAGGUUAAAGAAGUUGGUUAGCAUUCGCGAAGCUGAUAACUGAAGCCCUGGUGAACGGCGGCCGUAACAAUAACGGUCCUAAGGUAGCGAAAUUCCUUGUCGGGUAAGUUCCGACCCGCACGAAAGGCGUAAUGAUUUGGAUACUGUCUCGGAGAGGGGCUCGGUGAAAUAGACUUGUCUGUGAAGAUGCGGACUACCUGCACCAGGACAGAAAGACCCUAUGAAGCUUUACUGUAACUUGAGAUUGAAAUUGGACUUUACUUGCGCAGUAUAGGUGGGAGGCGUUGAUAAUAUUCUUGCGGGAUUAUUUGAGCCAUCAGUGAGAUACCACUCUUGUAAUGUUAGAUUUCUAACUUUGUAUCAUUAUCUGGUCAAAGGACAGUUUCAGGCGGGCAGUUUGACUGGGGCGGUCGCCUCCUAAACGGUAACGGAGGCGCACAAAGGUUUCCUCUGAACGGGUAGAAAUCGUAUCUAGAGUGUAAAGGCAUAAGGAAGCUUGACUGUGAGACCUACAAGUCGAGCAGGGACGAAAGUCGGUCUUAGUGAUCUGACGGUGCUGAGUGGAAAGGCCGUCACUCAACGGAUAAAAGUUACUCUAAGGAUAACAGGCUGAUCUCCCCCAAGAGUUCACAUCGACGGGGAGGUUUGGCACCUCGAUGUCGGCUCAUCGCAUCCUGGGGCGGUAGUACGUCCCAAGGGUUGGGCUGUUCGCCCAUGAAAGCGGUACGCGAGCUGGGUUCAGAACGUCGUGAGACAGUUCGGUCCAUAUCCGGUGUAGGCGUUAGAAUAUUGAGAGGAGCCUUCUUUAGUACGAGAGGACCGAGAAGGACAUACCUCUGGUGUACCAGUUAUCGUGCCAACGGUAAACGCUGGGUAGCUAUGUAUGGAGUGGAUAACCGCUGAAAGCAUCUAAGUGGGAAGCCCACCUCAAGAUAAGUAUUCUCA